AUUCAAAAUUUGUAUAUGUAUUCUGUUUAUUUUUUUCCAUAUAUUUUGAUGAAAUAAUCGAUUUUUUGUUCCUGAUAGAUCUAAAAUUGGUCACACAAUGAAUGAAUCAUCUUCAUCUUUGAGGAUUACCAGAGGGUCAUUGGGAAAAUCAAAUCAAGUUAUACAAGAACAAACAAUGGAAGAGCUUAGAUCAAAG
Long non-coding RNA from Solanum lycopersicum (tomato), 196 nucleotides. RefSeq lists it as uncharacterized. The record is from RefSeq and is a predicted model, not a curated record. NCBI's taxonomy places the organism in Eukaryota, Viridiplantae, Streptophyta, Magnoliopsida, Solanales, Solanaceae.